AAUCGAGAGCUCCAAGUGGGC
Molecule: small nuclear RNA, 21 nt
Filed under: Arabidopsis thaliana (thale cress)
Lineage: Eukaryota; Viridiplantae; Streptophyta; Magnoliopsida; Brassicales; Brassicaceae
Description: snRNA_00058
Source: RNAcentral